RNAcentral lists this long non-coding RNA (5016 nucleotides) under Gadus morhua (Atlantic cod). RNAcentral describes it as "lncRNA (ENSGMOG00000033651.1)". The record is from RNAcentral. Lineage: Eukaryota; Metazoa; Chordata; Actinopteri; Gadiformes; Gadidae.
GCUCUCUGUGAUGGGGGUCCCUCAAUGUAGCAGCGGUUAGGUGGUGGGGGGACACUAUAGACAUGCCAUUUCCCCAGAGCAUAUUGCUGUGUCUGGGCGUGGUGCUGAUGACCGCCGGGGUGGUCAUGGCACUCUGCACGGGCGCCGUUCCCCAGGGUAUCCCGCUAUUUCAACUCGGACUGAUUCUGGGGCUCGGGGGUGCGGGGCUGGUGGUCACUGGUCUCUGCGCUGCCAUGAAGAACCUGCAGGUGGCGGUGCCAGGACACUUCCUCCUGCACCCCCGCACGGGCACCCGCUUCAGCCCCCAUCAGGCGCUUGCAAUACAAAGGAGGCUGGACCGCAUCCGCAGGGAGAUGUCAACGGACUCCGUGGCCGGGCAGGCUGAGCCAGCCGAGCCCUCCCUGCCCUCCACCCCGCCCCCCUGGGAUCUGGAGCCCCCGCCCUCCUAUGACACGGUGAUGAAGUGCCAGGAGCAUGCCUCACAGGAGAUAUGACCUGUGACACUCCCCUAUCCCUCCCUCACCCCCUUCCCUCCCUUUCUCCCAGAGGAAGAAGAAAACCACAGGGACAGGAAUCCAUGAGUCAUGAACCCAGUCUGAGACGACGAACCGUCGUCAGCUGCAUUUCACCAGCAAAAAAUUUUCACUCUUUGUGCCUUCCUGGGAACCACCAUCUUGAACACCAAACAAAGACAGAGGCGGGGCCUGCAAGCCAAGGGGACAAUCUGGGCUGAACAAAAAAUAGGGCUGUGAGGACACGAGACCUAGAUGGAUGAAACGUGGGAGGGGAAUUUAAUGUUUACCAUUUCCUGUGUUGCUCUAACCUCGCCCCAUCCCACUCGGGAGACCAGCCUUAUGUAACUUUUUAACCGUUGUUGACCCUAAAUGACAGUGCAGUUGGCUGUGAGCCCAGUAAACAGGUACUUUAUAGGCCCCACUGGAGGCUGUGCUAUGAACACCCCCCCCCCUUACACCCUACCCCCCCCCCCCCCCCCACACACACACACACACUUGCCCUUCUUGAACAUCUGCCUUCCAUCCCAGCCGUAUGGAUUGGUCUAGCUGCGUGCACGAGCUUACAAAGCAUUUUAUUACUGGUUUACUGGUUUAACCCAAAGCAAAUUGCCUUUUUGGCAGCAGUGUUGUUGUGCCGAGGUUUGUACUCAGGCUUUUUAAUUUCUUUUGAAAAAAUGACGGCCAGGGCCGGCCUGUGUGGAGAUGUUUCUGUGAGCAUGAGUUAACGACCAGUCUUCCACGAUCUCUGUGGGUGGUGCGUGUGAAGGAGAAGUAAUGGCUUGUUUAUGUGAAAUAAAAUACUGGUGGAGACCUAUAAAGAAAAAUAAAUAUGGCAAAUGUUUACUGAAGUAAUUAUUUAAGUCUAAACAGACAAAUGACAGUGUUGAAUACAGAACACCUGGUCACUAUGGAAACAAUGGAAGCAAUGGAACAGGUUAAGUGUAGAAAGGGCUGGUGGUGUUAUGACAAAAUAGGCAAAAUGUUACCUAUUUUGACAAUAAGCUGGAGGCAAGGACCCCCUUAAAAAGCACAGAACAAGUUCUUAAUCACACACACGCAGACACACACACACACGCAAACACACAAAAACAUACACAACUUCACCUUGAAAAACCAGGACGAAGAAAGAUGAAGACAGUCUGCAGUUUGUGUUGGACACACGGGUUUCAAAGUCUCAGCGGUGGAUUGGAACCGUGGUGGAGCAGUCCAGCUACGGGCGGAUGGUGGCGGGGCUGUGUGUGGCGUCCCUGGGACCCUUCAGCAUGACCGAGGAGUGCUGUUCACACUGGGGGACCUCAUGGUGUGUAUGGGCACCUGUCCUGAGUGUGGGUCCGUGUGAGAAAGUAUAUGUGGGAGAUAAGGUGUGUACCGGUAUGUGUCUUUGGAUUAGUGUGUGUGUGCUGGUGGGAAAAUAAUGUAUAAGUCUGUGAUGGAAGAUAGGAUGAUGAUAUUAUUCCAGCGUGUUGUGUUGUCGGUUGUUUUUCAGGUCACGUUGGUUUCUCGUGAAGAAAAGGGGCUUGAGGACUGCACACACACACACACACACACACACACGCACACACAUACACAUACACACACACACACACACACACACACACACACACACACACACACACACACACACACACACACACAAACUAAUAAGCCAACCAGGGCUUGCUUUAGGGUGGUAACUUUUUGUCUGAGAUGACCUGCAUUAGGAGAAAGAACGGCAUAACUUCACCGCUAAUACUAUAUAUAAAAGAAAAAGAAUACAGGUUUCGAUGAAAAGUCAUGGUCAGUCAGGCCUUUGAUCUAAAGGCUUGGGGACAGCUGACUUCUAUAGACUGAUGGAUAAAUUACAGCCAUGUUUCCUUUAGAGUGGCCACAAAUAGAUUUAUAAGCAUGUUUAGAUCAUUAGGGUGUCUUUUUCUCUUUCCAUUAAUCCAGUAAUGAUGAUAAUGAUGAGCUGCAGCAUGGUUGCCAUGGCGAGAGGGGAAGUGACGGUACGGCCCAAGAGGCGCCUCAGGCAUCACAGCUGUCCAGUUCUGAGCCUGAUCUGAGUAUUCAUCUCACUCUUCUCAACAGUUGCUGUUUAAGAAUCAAUUAAGAAAAAUCAUCAUUCAAAAAUAUUAAUAAUAUAAUGAUCUCUAUAAAUGUACGUUGUCUAUCUGCCAUUUACUAAGAGCUUGCAUCAUGGCAAUUUCAUUAAUGAAAUCUUCUUAGAUAAUAAUUUAGUGUUUAAUAUGAUGACUACACCCUAAAUAAGUUAACGCGUGUACCACUGUGUCUGCAAAUCUGUCCCAGGAGGGGGCACCGUUUACAAAAAAUGGGAUUCUUGGACAAUUUUAGGAAAAUAUAUUUCAAUCGGCCUGUAAUUCGGUUACGCUUGGAAACCCUUAGCCUAUUUCGGAAUCAGUCUGGAAAGCGUUAGGGCUAAACCCCUACACUAAUCAAUAUUUCCAGAUGUCAUUUUUAAUUGGGCCUACAUUAUUUACCUUUCGAACAGUUAAUUAAGGUUGGCCAUUUUCCAGUGGGACACAUGUACAUGCAAAUGCAAUACACAUGUAAUAAUAAACAAAUAAUAACUCCCCACUUAAGUAGGGGUACUACCCAGUCCCACAUAAGGAUUCCCUGAGAAUGAUGCCUCAUCCCACUUCCUGCUCCUAAAUGACAUAUUUCUGAAUUCACCGGAAGUCACGAAGAAGGAUGUAUUUAUAAGUAUACUUAAAAAUAAGACGUGCCUUAAAACUAGGCCCUACUUAAAGUGUAAACCAAUGUGUUGCAUCUUCUCCUAAAGCAACAAACUGCUUGGGAUUACCAUUCAAUUCUGUUUCUUUCAUGAAGCAGGCAAACAAUAUACCCUCCACAGACCAACUGGUCCAUGUUCCAGUCUGACCAAGGUAUUGGGUUUUUCAAGUAAGCCUAUAGAAAUCACAGAGGCUGCACAUUUUUCUAUUGUAUAACCUUGAGAAUAGGUAGCCCUCUGAUUGGACUGCCAUUGUCUUGUGUUUUUAAACGGUUAUAUCGACAAAAUAAACGAGACUCAACCAUGUAGCAGGAUGGGGCUGGUUAUUGGUUAGAUAUUAAUCAUCUGCAAAAGAGUUGGUUUCUUUGUUCCACCUGUGUCCUGUCCAGAUGACGGAGGCCAGGCGGAGGUGUUCCUUAUGGAUGGGAGUGUUCAGACGUUUUACCGGGAGCUUUAAUAGACUUUAACAGCGUCCCUGAGGAGGACGUACUCAGAGUUCACAUACAGGUCGGAGAGUAUUUUAACUCUCUCGCUCUCCUCUCUGACAGAGGUCCAGAGAAAGACACAGAGGAGGGGAAAGGAUAGUGUUAUAAGGGGAGGAUGGUGUAGUAGUGGCUAGGUUGUUUGACUCCAAGCCGAAAGGUAGGGAUCAUUUUGCAAGACGCUCUUCUUAAUGACAUGCAUCUCAAUUCACUGUCAAUCACUUCAGAUGAAGUGCAUGCCAAAUGGCUUAAUAGUAAACAUUAAAAUCACACCGUGAUUCGUUCCUGACUGAACAUCGGCUACCUAGUUUAUCAGGGAAACCUCUUUGAAAUAUAAUUUCCUGCAGACCAGCCAGUGUGACAGUCACAGGACGCACACGGUGGGCACGGCCAGCGGACUGGACUCUUGGGUGGCCCCCGGUGCCGCCAUCCACCUGGUGCGUGUACUCAACUGCCAGGGAAAGGGAUUGUGUCAGGAGCCCCGGCAAGUAGCAAUCAAACACAUACAAACACAUACACACACACACACGCACACGUACGCACCCACCCACCCAUGCAAACGCACGUUCAGCCCUCACCUGUGAGGCGCCUCACAACCUCACCUCUCUAAACCUGGCGGCUUUCCUCCCUCCCUCCCUCCCAGCCAUCGAGCACAUCCAAGCAAUCCUAUUGGCCCUGCCACGGGACCUGGAUGGUGGUGCUGAUGCCGUUCCUUUGUGGCUUCAGCUACACGCUUAACACGGCAUGACGGGAGCUGGUGACUAGUGGCGCCUUGGUCGUAGCAGCGACAGGGACACACACGCACAGGCUAACACACACACACACACACACACACACACACACACACACACACACACACAGGCUAACCCACACAAAUACACACAGGCUCACACACACACACACACACACACACACACACACACACACACACACACACACACACACACACACACACAGGCUAACCCACACACAUACACACAGGCAAACAAAUACGCACACACACGCAUGAAAAUUGACAUGGGAAAUACACAACGCUGCCCUCCUUAUUCUUCAAUUAAUUUAAAUAUUAUCUUUGACUCAUCAUUAUUAUUUUGUAUCUGCAGGUGAUAACAAUAGGGGCGGUAACCUCAGAGGAUCAGCCAAUGGCAUUGGGAGCGGGCGGGACCAACUUCGGCCACUGUGUGGAUCUGUUUGCGUCGGGCGAUGACAUCGUUAGCGACAGCAGUGACUGUAUAACCCCUGUGCUUCACCUCACGCAGCGGGACGUCCCAGGCUGCAGCCCACGUGACAG